CCCGGGACCAUGGCGGUGCUUGCCGCUGGGGAUGGCGGCUUGCUCGGCCGGGCGACUAGUUCUGGCCUGGUCGGUCGGCGGCCGACAUCCUGUCUGGGGCGGCGUCCCACAGACGGUAAACGUACCUUCUGUGUGACGUCAACCCUCCAGAGGUCUUCAGCCUCCGUAGGGGCGACUGUAUCCACAUCACCUUCCUCCUGAAGACCCUGCUGAAAAUGGAGGAGUCGGUGCUGUUGCUACCCCCUUGGGGCCGCCUCUACCAUUGGCAGAGCCUGGACAUCCACCAGGUCCGGAUUCCCUGGUCUGACAUUUUUGAUCUCUCAAGUCUCAGCAGAAACAUCCCUGACACUGAGUACGAACAGUUCAUUGCAGGGUUCACUUGGUGAUAAUAAUAGUAACCAAAGCAACAGCAAACCCUUACAGAACUCUGUCCUGCUGUUCCAGGAACUCUGUGUUCACGACAACCCAAUGAGGUGGCACUUUACAGGAAGGACACUCAUUAAUCACACAGCUAGUAAAUGGCAGAGCUGGGACUUGAAACCAAGCUGUCUGGCCCCAGAGCCCCCUCUCAGGCCCUUCACUGCAGCUCAUCACUUGGGAUGCCCGACACAGGCCAGCAUUAAGGAGCAGCGUGACCUUGGCCAAGGUUGCUUCACCAAUUGGUCUCUGUUUCCUCAUCUGUAGAAUGGGGGUGUGGGCAGUGAACUCUGUGAGCUCAGUGGUCACUUCCUCCAGCUCUGCUAUUCUACUGCUUUGAGUUAAUUUAGUAAGUAUCCGAGCCUCUGCAUGGCCCACCCAUAGGCUGGCGUUUUGCUAGGCCCUGGGUUACGGAGAAAAGUAAGAUCAGCCUGCUUCUCCAAGGAGCCUGUGUCCCUCCACGGCAAACAGCUGUGAGGCCCAGGCUCCCUCACUGUCGGUCGGGGGCUGGGCAGGAAAAUCUGAUAGAAGAUGGAGACAGAGCCCCUCCGGGAACAGUGGUGGCCACACAGCUCUCAGGAGCGGGAGAGUCUGUCCUGGCUGCUGAGAGGGGAGUCCUCAUGAGGCCAGUAGGCCCCCCAACCUAAGCCCUCACCUCAGGACAAAGAUCCAGCCAUCCUCGCAGUGUCAUCAUAGAGCCAGUCCAUCCUCAUCAAUGUACCUCUGUGCUCCUUUGUCCUGGGGACUCUCUUCCCCCUACACCCAGAAGACUCUUCUCCCUCUCUUCUCUGAGUGUCCCCUCACUUCACCCGUGGUCCCUGCUUCCUGGGCAACCAUCUCUGGAGUUGACACUUUGCCCCCUCACACCCCCCGUUUGAUCAGGAGCUUGGUUUGGCCUCCUUGUGCUCACUUUCCCCCUUCAGAUGAUUGCUCCUCCUCUCUUGGGAGCACCUGGAAAACCCAGAUCCAUUCCUAGCAGUGCCUGCCACCCUGGACUCCCUGCUCAUCUGCCUUAGUCAGGAGCACCUGGACCACCAGCUCUGUAUUGCCUCACCUCCUACUAUCGAGACGUCAAAAUUCAUUCUCCCUCCACCAGCCAGUGUGGUCAUUGUAGGGUCUUCUUCUCCGUGAGCCUGAGCCAGCCAGCCCCCAUUCACCCUACCCCGGGCUCAUACGCAGACGUGUCUCCACCCCAGGUCCAGCCUCUCUCCUUUAAGUGCCCACCACUAGCCAUCCAGCUGCUUCUUCACCAACCUCCCUGGCCCUCCUUCACCCUCACUUGGGCAUCAAGCGCUGACUCCUCUGCUUUCCUGCCUGUCCACGUUCCUCUAAUUUCCACUUCCCCACCUUCCAGCUCUGCAUCCACAGUCAGCAAUCUCUUUAUGACAAACAAAACCCCCUUGACCCUUGAUCUUUUCUUUUCCUCAACAGGCCGACUUCCAUCUCGGUUCACCGAGCUCUACUUCUUCUGAGCCUGCAGGCAGCAGGCUCUCCCAGCACAGAUUUCUAAGACUGCAAAUCAAUGCCCACCAUGUUGCCACAGCCAGGCAAUCCUCCAGGAUUUCUCUAGUGAACACAUUUCCCCACUUAUCACUCAGUGGUGUCAACAUCCUCUGCUCUCUGCACACCUCUAACCUUCCCUCUGUCUCUUCCCUGACUCCCAGCAGAUGGCCUUGCUUCCUGCUUCGGAGAGAAUGACAUGUUACUGGAAAGGAACUUGCUCAUCUGCAGCAAAUCUGCUCACCUCGCCUUUUAUCUGUCCCUCUCCCACCUGGACUCUAGCUGUAAUUGUUCUUAAUUUAGUGAGUUUAGUUGACAUAUAUAUACACAGUUAAAAGCAUAGCACACUAUAGGCCACCUUCUAGGGCUUACUUUUUCAAUUUAACAUAGAGUGUAUGAUUCAUCCAUUUCGGUGCAUGUACCUGCAGUUCAUUUGCUUUAACUGGUCUUAAAUGAUGUGUGUGUGAAAGUAACACAAGGCAAGGGUAAGCCAGGAUUCAGGAUGCUGGGUACUUCCUGUGAGAAGAGGCCAAGGGCAGGAUAGGACAAAGUAUGUCACUGUCAAUAGUCCUGUUUUGAGGCUGGGUGAUAGGUUCACAACUGUUUCUUAUAAUAUUAAUUUUAAUACAUAAAUACCUCUGACAGGCACCUAAGGUGAGAAUGUGUCAUGAACCAAGACAUACAAUGGGUAAUAUUACAUCAUUAUUGUUAUGUAAUCUUGUUAUAAAAUAUAUUAAUCAUAAUCCUACAUUGUUAUGUGUUAUAUAUUAUAUAGAUGCAUGAAUUAUAUAUUAUGUAUAUAAAUACCUACAUAUGUAUUAUAUACUAUCUGAUAAUAAAUAAAUAACAUAAUAUGCUAGUGUAUCUACUAUUAUGUAUUAUUUAAUAAAUAAUAACAUACUAUAUCCUGUUAUAUGACAUGGCACAUAAUCUUUAAUCAAAUAAAAAUAUGUCAGUAUAUGUAAUGGUAAUUAAUAAAAUUAAAUAAAAAAGCCCGCAGCUUUUAACGCCAACACCGCUCCAGCUGUCACUGUCUUUUCUCUUCCUUUUCAUGGUCAAGGUCCUCACAGUGCUAUCCGUUCCCCCUUUCAUCUCCUUAUCCUGAACCUUCCUCCUCCUCCCAUCACAUGCUGC
Long non-coding RNA from Camelus dromedarius (Arabian camel), 3051 nucleotides. RefSeq lists it as uncharacterized. The record is from RefSeq and is a predicted model, not a curated record. The transcript is spliced from 3 exons. NCBI's taxonomy places the organism in Eukaryota, Metazoa, Chordata, Mammalia, Artiodactyla, Camelidae.